ACAAGCGGCGGAGCAUGCGGAUUAAUUCGAUGCAACGCGAAGAACCUACCAAGGCUUGACAUAUAGAGGAAACGUCUGGAAACAGUCGCCCCGCAAGGUCUCUAUACAGGUGGUGCAUGGUUGUCGUCAGCUCGUGUCGUGAGAUGUGGGUUAAGUCCCGCAACGAGCGCAACCCUCGUUCUAUGUUGCCAGCACGUAAUGGUGGGAACUCAUGGGAUACUGCCGGGGUCAACUCGGAGGAAGGUGGGGAUGACGUCAAAUCAUCAUGCCCCUUAUGUCUUGGGCUUCACGCAUGCUACAAUGGCCGGUACAAAGGGCUGCAAUACCGUAAGGUGGAGCGAAUCCCAAAAAGCCGGUCCCAGUUCGGAUUGAGGUCUGCAACUCGACCUCAUGAAGUCGGAGUCGCUAGUAAUCGCAGAUCAGCAACGCUGCGGUGAAUACGUUCCCGGGCCUU
This 454-nucleotide ribosomal RNA is filed under the name uncultured Microbacterium sp. RNAcentral describes it as "bacterial SSU rRNA". It matches the Rfam family "Bacterial small subunit ribosomal RNA", at positions 925 to 1382 of the family's 1533-position model. Lineage: Bacteria; Bacillati; Actinomycetota; Actinomycetes; Micrococcales; Microbacteriaceae. The record is from RNAcentral.